AAACCAACCUCUUCUUGCCACUUAAUAUCGGUAAAAAAAUCUAUUUAUUGGACGAAAUAUUCAACAAGGUGUUCAACAGUUCUAAAACAGAUUGAUGAUUAUUACAUGAUGAUUAACAGAUUGAUGAUUAUUUAUUACAUUUACAUGAGAAGUAACAAAUGUCAAGAAUGAAUGAAACUAGCAAAUUCAAAACAUAAUGAAACUUGUAAUAAUUUAAAAAUGCAUCAGCUAAUAAUGUCAACACAAACCACAGAAUUACACAAAAUCUAGUCCUCAUGU
RNAcentral lists this long non-coding RNA (279 nucleotides) under Trifolium pratense (red clover). RNAcentral describes it as "long non-coding RNA (TPRA_LNC012703)". Lineage: Eukaryota; Viridiplantae; Streptophyta; Magnoliopsida; Fabales; Fabaceae. The record is from RNAcentral.